Long non-coding RNA from Micropterus dolomieu (smallmouth bass), 1635 nucleotides. RefSeq lists it as uncharacterized. The transcript has 3 exons. NCBI's taxonomy places the organism in Eukaryota, Metazoa, Chordata, Actinopteri, Centrarchiformes, Centrarchidae. The record is from RefSeq and is a predicted model, not a curated record.
AGGGCUGAUACAGUAUUACUCCAUACUACACUCCAAUACUACAACAAGGUGCAGCCGACAGCCACAGAGAGGUACGAUGCGGUGUAGCAGUGAACCCCGCGCUGCUGGUUCAGGACCAGGACGUUCUGGUAGAUGGGGACUGAGUUCAUGUUGUAUUUGUUGGGCUGUCCGGGGUUGGGACUGGAACAGAAGCUGCUGCUGCACUCGGCUUCCCAGAGGGUGGCGGGGAUCCGGUUCUUCACGGUGGACGACCUGAGCAAACGACAGCAACGGAGUCAAAACAAGAUCAAGUGCUGCCCACAGAUACGGAGUCCCACAGACUGACCUCCAGCUCCACGGAGACAGCGAUCUGCUGUGGAUGUUCCCGUUUCCCUCAGACGAGGAGGCGACGUCUGAGGAGAACGCCAACGUGGAGUCACAACCAGGAGGAGAAGCAUUCACCGAGGAGGAGACGACCCACAAUACACUGCAACAUACCUGCAGAGAGGACACAUUAUUACUAUAGAGUAUCAGAUGCAUUUGUUUAUAAAUGGGCAGAAAUGACAUUUCUUCACCAACCAGUGGUGUUACCUCAAAUACUGUACUUUUUAUUUUAUGCAAAAAUCUUUAAAUAGAGUUGUAUCCCUUGGCUAACGAUGGCUAAGACACACAAAAAAGCUGAAAGUGAAUUAUGUAAUAAACUCUUAUUAGGGAGAUAUUUAUUGAUUUCUUAGCAAAAAUAAAUUUUAAUUUCUGUUGGGAUUAACAAGUGAGGUUCUACAGUCAGUCAGACAUUUUCAAAUAAAAGGGACUAAUAAAAUAAAUAAAUAAAUUAGUCUAAUCAUGAUGAUUAGUUGAUUUACUGGUGACCAUACUGUAUGUGCUUUUCAUCUGAGUAGCUGGAUGCAUUAAAGAUACCUAACAUAAGUUGUUAAUAUGAUUACGAGAGAACUCAAAAUAUACUGUAACAACAUACAGAAACUGCUCGCCGUGGCUUUUUUGGGACUCCGUACAAAAAAGAAAGCGGCUCUGCAUUUACUUCACUGGUUUAAUCCAUAUCUCGUAUAAUUGUGGCUCCCCCACACAAACACACAGGUUUAUAAUGUAUAUGAUUUAUUUGUUAAUUUAAAUCCGAAUCUUCGCUCUAAAUUUCUAAUUUCUAACAUAGAUGUAAAUAUGGAUGUAUCAGAGGAAAUGUUUGAGCGAUGCUCAUUUUGUGUCCAUUAUCUCAGUUUAUUUUUGUCUUAUCAAGACUUUUAACAGUUGAUAUCAGCUGAUAUUCAGCUGACUUGCCGCUUCAUUGAAACUUAGUUAUCCCCUUUUUAUAUACUCUAUUUGAAUUCUCGGAGAUGUGGUCUGGAAGCAGAGUAAUUUGUCAUCAUUUCGUACGGUUAAUAAAGUUAUUGCUCACCAGCAGAUUGCAGGCACUGUGUCUCGGCUUCAUGUUGUCGACGUGGUCGUGUGCAGCUUCUGUGCGCCAACUGCUCUGAGUUCAGGUGUUUUUAUGAUGGUCUUACUGUCAGAUCUGAUCACAGCAGAUCCCUUGAGCUGAUAAGCAGACGUGACAUGAGAGGGGAGAUUCCUCUUAUCUCGCCUGCUGAUCGACACGUUGUGAACAACACGUUUUCUUCACUGAUAACAUCUCUGACAGACAGA